AUACUUACCUGGCACAGGAGAUACCAUAAUCAGAAAGAUUGGUUUCCCAGGUCAGGCUUAUCCAUUGCACUCCGGAUGUGCUGACCCCUGUGGUUUCCCCAAAUGCCGGAAACUCAACUGCAUAAUUUGUGGUAGUAGGGGACUGCUCUCCCCUG
This is a small nuclear RNA of Cricetulus griseus (Chinese hamster), 155 nucleotides long. Its record names the gene U1. It matches the Rfam family "U1 spliceosomal RNA". Rfam says of the family: U1 is a small nuclear RNA (snRNA) component of the spliceosome (involved in pre-mRNA splicing). Its 5' end forms complementary base pairs with the 5' splice junction, thus defining the 5' donor site of an intron. The record is from Ensembl. NCBI's taxonomy places the organism in Eukaryota, Metazoa, Chordata, Mammalia, Rodentia, Cricetidae.